AACGAACGCUGGCGGCAUGCCUAACACAUGCAAGUCGAACGAAGUCUUCGGACUUAGUGGCGCACGGGUGCGUAACGCGUGGGAAUCUGCCCUUGGGUGCGGAAUAACUUCUCGAAAGGGAUGCUAAUACCGCAUAAUGUCGUAAGACCAAAGAUUUAUCGCCCAAGGAUGAGCCCGCGUAAGAUUAGCUAGUUGGUGGGGUAAAAGCCUACCAAGGCGACGAUCUUUAGCUGGUCUGAGAGGAUGAUCAGCCACACUGGGACUGAGACACGGCCCAGACUCCUACGGGAGGCAGCAGUGGGGAAUAUUGGGACAAUGGGCGAAAGCCUGAUCCAGCAAUGCCGCGUGAGUGAUGAAGGCCCUAGGGUUGUAAAGCUCUUUUACCAGGGAUGAUAAUGACAGUACCUGGAGAAUAAGCUCCGGCUAACUCCGUGCCAGCAGCCGCGGUAA
This 450-nucleotide ribosomal RNA is filed under the name uncultured bacterium. RNAcentral's name for it is "bacterial SSU rRNA". It matches the Rfam family "Bacterial small subunit ribosomal RNA", at positions 29 to 523 of the family's 1533-position model. The record is from RNAcentral.